UCCGUAGGCGGUGUGGCAAGUCGGUAGUGAAAUCUCUCGGCUUAACUGAGAGGCUGCUGCCGAAACUGCCAUGCUCGAGUGCGAGAGAGGCGAGUGGAAUUGCGGGUGUAGCGGUGAAAUGCGUAGAUAUCCGCAGGAACAUCCGAGGCGAAAGCGGCUCGCUGGAUCGCAACUGACGCUGGAGGGACGAAAGCUAGGGGAGCAAACAGGAUUAGAUACCCUGGUAGUCCUAGCCCUAAACCAUCAGGACUUGGGGUUUGCCCUGUACGGGGCAAGUCCCGGAGCUAACGCGUUAAGUCCUGCGCCUGGGGAGUACGGUCGCAAGGCUGAA
Molecule: ribosomal RNA, 331 nt
Filed under: uncultured bacterium
Lineage: Bacteria
Description: bacterial SSU rRNA
Rfam family: Bacterial small subunit ribosomal RNA
Source: RNAcentral